This 490-nucleotide ribosomal RNA is filed under the name uncultured bacterium. Its description in RNAcentral is "partial 16S ribosomal RNA". It matches the Rfam family "Bacterial small subunit ribosomal RNA", at positions 30 to 507 of the family's 1533-position model. The record is from RNAcentral.
AUUGAACGCUGGCGGCAGGCCUAACACAUGCAAGUCGAACGGUAACAGGAAGAAGCUUGCUUCUUUGCUGCCGAGUGGCGGCCGGGUGAGUAAUGUCUGGGAAACUGCCUGAUGGAGGGGGAUAACUACUGGAAACGGUAGCUAAUACCGCAUAACGUCGCAAGACCAAAGAGGGGGACCUUCGGGCCUCUUGCCAUCGCAUGUGCCCAGAUGGGAUUAGCUGGUAGGUGGGGUAACGGCUCACCUAGGCGACGAUCCCUAGCUGGUCUGAGAGGAUGACCAGCCACACUGGAACUGAGACACGGUCCAGACUCCUACGGGAGGCAGCAGUGGGGAAUAUUGCACAAUGGGCGCAAGCCUGAUGCAGCCAUGCCGCGUGUAUGAAGAAGGCCUUCGGGUUGUAAAGUACUUUCAGCGGGGAGGAAGGGAGUAAAGUUAAUACCUUUGCUCAUUGACGUUACCCGCAGAAGAAGCACCGGCUAACUCCGUG